UCAGUCGGUUAAGUGCCUGACUUUACUCUGGUCACGAUCUUGCACUUCAUGGGUUUGAGCCCCGCCUCAGGCUCUGUGCUGGCAGCUCAGAGCCUGAAGCCUACUCUGGAUUCUGUGCCUCCCUUUCUGUGCCCCUCACCCACUCACACUCUGUCUUUCUCUCUCUCAAAAAUAAACAUUAAAAAAAGGGGGGAGGGGGCACCUGCUGCCGUGGAGUGUAUCAAACACCCAGAAAAGGAAGAAGCAGCAGAGGGUUGACAGGUAGGAUGGAAAGGAACAUGGUAUAAUGGCUUUGAGACCUGGCUCGGGUUUCUGGGCCUGGCUUUCCCUCUUAUUAGCUGUGUCACUUGGGAAAGACCCUUAACCUUCCUAAGCUUCAGUUUCCUUAUUUUCAAAAUGCAGAUAUUCAUAGUACCUUAGUACUUUACAGGAUCACAUAAGGAUUAAAUGAGAUGAUAUAUGUAAAGCACUUAGGUUAACUGCCUGGACCAUGCCUAUUUUUUGCAGGGCCUGGUACCUAGAAAUUGCUCAGAAUAUUAUAAAAAUUACUGAGUAGGAUGACCCUACCCACUUGUGAAGGCCAGCUCUACAGUGGCAUUCAAUGCUAUCCAAAGGAUAUUGACAUCUUGGACAUGGUCCACGUUGAAGGUCUCACUAGCCAGAUUGUGCAUUGCUGCCAUUAGGGACUGCCAAGACUGGCCUGGAGACCUCAUGAUGCACCGAGACUGGGCCUGCUGCUAUUCCAGUGAAAUCAGGUUCUGUCAUAACAGGUUUUCCUUGGGAGAAAAGAGCCAUGGUCAACUAAGUUUGGGACACAGUGAGAUUUUGAGAGUCAGAAGCAUAAAUGGCAAUAAGGACUCUGAGAGCAAGAGAAAUGUGAGCUAUAACUUCACUGGGGCAGCAAGAGACCAUAAUUAUCACACGGACAGCAAGAUACUAAGGAGUUGACCCUGCAUACUGCAUCAUCCAGGAUCUUUUUGCCCUCUGGCUUCCAGCAUGGUUCAGUCGACAAGAGGUAACCUCUCCCCACCGCCGCAAUGCCAAGAGCCUAAUGGUAGCUCCCUCUAUAACUACAGCUUCUGAUGGGCAGCAGCCUUCCAUAGCACUGGCUCAUGCCAGUCUCCCAAAAUAUUGCUGCCUCCCCUCACCUAAGAGUGGUAACAGCUUCUGGAUGCCUGGCGCCUCUCAUCACUUGUUGGUUUCCUCAACUGCAUCCAUACUUCUAGAAAUAGUCCAUUAAAUUCUCAUCAGAAUCCAAUAGGAGAAUGUACAGUAUUCUGUUUCUGGCCAGGCCCCUGACUGAUAAAAUAAAUAUUUAUAAUAAGGUAGAGAGGGAGGGCAUAGAGUCCCAGUUUUGAGCCCCUACUAUAGGGCAAGCACAGGCACUGUUUAUAAAGAUAUUCAAUAAAUGCUGAUAAAUCUGAACAAAGGGGUAUGAGAGAGGAUUAAAAAAAAACAGAUGUCACAAGAAUUUGAGACACAGGAA
Long non-coding RNA from Neofelis nebulosa (Clouded leopard), 1486 nucleotides. RefSeq lists it as uncharacterized. The transcript is spliced from 4 exons. The record is from RefSeq and is a predicted model, not a curated record. Lineage: Eukaryota; Metazoa; Chordata; Mammalia; Carnivora; Felidae.